CAGUGUCUUGCAGUGUCAGGGUAAGGUGUAAGCAGGGUUCAGUGUCAGUAACAGGAAGGGUGUAGUGUCAGGCAGUGUCAGGGUAAGGUGUAGGCAGGGUGCAGUGUCAGGAUUGGGUAUAGGCAGGGUGCAGUGUCAGGGUAAGGUAUAAGCAGGGUUCAGUGUCAGUAACAGGCAGGGUGUAAUGUCAGGGUAAGGUGUAGGCAGGGUGCAGUGUCAGGAUUGGGUAUAGGCAGGGUGCAGUGUCAGGGUAAGGUAUAGGCAGGGUUCAGUGUCAGUAACAGGCAGGGUGUAAUGUCAGGGUAAGGUGUAGGCAGGGUGGAGUGUCAGGAUUGGGUAUAGGCAGGGUGCAGUGUCAGGGUAAGGUAUAAGCAGGGUUCAGUGUCAGUAACAGGCAGGGUGUAAUGUCAGGGUAAGGUGUAGGCAGGGUGCAGUGUCAGGAUUGGGUAUAGGCAGGGUGCAGU
This is a non-coding RNA of Pelobates cultripes (western spadefoot toad), 464 nucleotides long. Lineage: Eukaryota; Metazoa; Chordata; Amphibia; Anura; Pelobatidae. The record is from the annotation of a GenBank genome assembly.